Molecule: ribosomal RNA, 475 nt
Filed under: uncultured bacterium
Lineage: Bacteria
Description: bacterial SSU rRNA
Rfam family: Bacterial small subunit ribosomal RNA
Source: RNAcentral
GACGAACGCUGGCGGCGUGCCUAACACAUGCAAGUCGAACGGAAAUACAGAAGGUGUUUACACCGGAUGUAUUUUAGUGGCGGACGGGUGAGUAACGCGUGAGCAAUCUGCCUUUCAGAGGGGGAUAACAACGGGAAACCGUUGCUAAUACCGCAUAAUACCAUUCUGUGGCAUCACGGAAUGGUCAAAGGAGCAAUCCGCUGAAAGAUGAGCUCGCGUCCCAUUAGGUAGUUGGUGAGGUAAUGGCCCACCAAGCCUGCGAUGGGUAGCCGGACUGAGAGGUUGAACGGCCACACUGGAACUGAGACACGGUCCAGACUCCUACGGGAGGCAGCAGUGGGGAAUAUUGGGCAAUGGGGGAAACCCUGACCCAGCAACGCCGCGUGAAGGAAGAAGGUCUUCGGAUUGUAAACUUCUGUCCUAUGGGAAGAAACAAAUGACGGUACCAUAGGAGGAAGCUCCGGCUAACUACGUG